GGCUAGUACUGACGGGCGUCAGGUACGAUAGGACCGGUUGGACUUGUACGUCUUCGCUCACGAGGAGCUUCGACGCAGUCGGUUGUUCGGGUAAUUGCAGCCCAAAGUAAGGUGGUAAAUCCAUCUACGGCUAAAUACUGACGGGAGACGGAUAGCGAUCAAGUACGUGAGGGAACGAUGAAAAGGACUUGAAAAGAGGAGUCAAAAAGUGCUUGAAAUUGGUUGAGAGGGAAGCGAUUGAAAGCUAUGGGGUGCGCCUAGGCACACGCCUGCCUUAACGGUUGGCUGAAUGCGCUGGGUGCUGGUCAGCAUGGGUUGGCUGGGCGGGACAAACCCAGGGGUUGUUACCCUGGCUAUGCCUCCUGGCCGACUGAGGUGUGAAUGGCGCUCUUUGAGUCCUUCGGGAACUGCGUCAUCAAGAUGCUGGCGGAAGGCCUUCAAUCGGCCCGUCUUGAAACACGGACCAAGGAGUCUAACAUGUAUGCGAGCUGGUGGGUGGCAAACCCAUGAAGCGCAAGGAAACUAACUUGGUGAGAUGGCCUGUGCCUGCAUCACCGACCGACCAUGAUCUUCUGUGAAAGGUUCGAGUACGAGCAUACCUGUUGGGACCCGAAAGAUGGUGAACUAUGCCUGAGCAGGGCGAAGCCAGAGGAAACUCUGGUGGAGGCUCGUAGAUGUGCUGACGUGCAAAUCGCUUUUCGGACUUGGGUAUAGGGGCGAAAGACUAAUCGAACCAUCUAGUAGCUGGUUCCCUCCGAAGUUUCCCCCAGGAUAGCUGGAGCUUAUAUCAGUUGAAUCGGGUAAAGCGAAUGAUUAGAGGUACCGGGGAUGAAACAUCCUCGACCUAUUCUCAAACUUUAAAUAGGUUCGAAGUCUGGGUUGCUUAAUUGAACCCAGGCACUCAAUGAGAGCUCCAAGUGGGCCAUUUUUGGUAAGCAGAACUGGCGAUGCGGGAUGAACCGAUAGCUGAGUUAAGGCGCCCAACUGCGCGCUAACCUAGAUCCCACAAAGGGUGUUGAUUGAUAUAGACAGCAGGACGGCGGUCAUGCACGCGCCGUCAUAGCCUGAAGGUUG
This 1074-nucleotide ribosomal RNA is filed under the name Chlorella sp. ABT154. Its description in RNAcentral is "eukaryotic LSU rRNA". It matches the Rfam family "Eukaryotic large subunit ribosomal RNA", at positions 179 to 1270 of the family's 3401-position model. The record is from RNAcentral. Lineage: Eukaryota; Viridiplantae; Chlorophyta; Trebouxiophyceae; Chlorellales; Chlorellaceae.